AAAGUCGUAACAAGGUUUCCGUAGGUGAACCUGCGGGAGGAUCAUUAUGAAUAAGUAGUUCGCUACUUUGCUGGGGGAGAUGGGAAAGUCCUGGCUGAAAAGCCAGUGCACCGGUACCUGCACCCCUAUCAUACCCUUGUCUUUUGAGUACUUAUGUUUCCUUGGUAGGCUUGCUUACCAGUUGGACAAUUUACAAACCUUUAUUUUAUAAGUCAGCGUCUGAAUAAAUUAAUAAUUACAACUUUCAACAACGGAUCUCUUGGUUCUG
Molecule: unclassified non-coding RNA, 268 nt
Filed under: Ascomycota sp.
Lineage: Eukaryota; Fungi; Ascomycota
Description: partial contains small subunit ribosomal RNA, internal transcribed spacer 1, and 5.8S ribosomal RNA
Rfam family: Eukaryotic small subunit ribosomal RNA (bases 1-47)
Source: RNAcentral